AACGAACGCUGGCGGCAUGCCUAACACAUGCAAGUCGAACGAGACCUUCGGGUCUAGUGGCGCACGGGUGCGUAACGCGUGGGAAUCUGCCCUUGGGUUCGGGAUAACAGUUGGAAACGACUGCUAAUACCGGAUGAUGACUUCGGUCCAAAGAUUUAUCGCCCAGGGAUGAGCCCGCGUCGGAUUAGCUAGUUGGUGAGGUAAGAGCUCACCAAGGCGACGAUCCGUAGCUGGUCUGAGAGGAUGAUCAGCCACACUGGGACUGAGACACGGCCCAGACUCCUACGGGAGGCAGCAGUGGGGAAUAUUGGACAAUGGGCGAAAGCCUGAUCCAGCAAUGCCGCGUGAGUGAUGAAGGCCUUAGGGUUGUAAAGCUCUUUUACCCGGGAUGAUAAUGACAGUACCGGGAGAAUAAGCCCCGGCUAACUCCG
RNAcentral lists this ribosomal RNA (431 nucleotides) under uncultured bacterium. RNAcentral's name for it is "partial 16S ribosomal RNA". It matches the Rfam family "Bacterial small subunit ribosomal RNA", at positions 29 to 505 of the family's 1533-position model. The record is from RNAcentral.